AUGGAAAUCAACGAAGCAUGCAAAGUAAAGGAGCAUAACAAAUACCACAACCAUAAAGACAAACUGGUGCCCAGGUUCAAGGAAGUAUACGAAAUAUUACUCAGUGAAAAAUUCGAAAAGGAAAAGACUAAAUGGGAAGUUCAAUUUUUAAAGAACGUUCCAAAGGUGAACAAAGGUGAAACCCCGUUUGUUGUUCUAAGGUCCGCGCACCUAUUUGAUGGCAACCACUUCGUCGAAGCGAUAGAUAAUUUUGAUGAUGGCACGGAACAAUGGAAAGCACAACAACUGUGCAGGCUACUAUUUAGCGAUUAG
This 312-nucleotide ribosomal RNA is filed under the name Triticum aestivum (bread wheat). RNAcentral describes it as "partial small subunit ribosomal RNA". Lineage: Eukaryota; Viridiplantae; Streptophyta; Magnoliopsida; Poales; Poaceae. The record is from RNAcentral.